This 1255-nucleotide long non-coding RNA is filed under the name Cricetulus griseus (Chinese hamster). Its description in RNAcentral is "lncRNA (ENSCGRG00015042390.1)". Lineage: Eukaryota; Metazoa; Chordata; Mammalia; Rodentia; Cricetidae. The record is from RNAcentral.
CUCCCGAGGCAACCGGAGCCUCAUUUGCAUAUCUGUGCCCGCGCUGCUGAUUGGCCCCGGCGCGUAGGGGCGGCCGUGACCGGCGCAGCUCGGGUCGUCGCUCGGUCCAGCUAGGGCUACCCAGAAGGGAGGCUACCUGCGCGGCUCCGCGCCCCGGCCCCCGGGCCCCGGCCCCCGGGCCCCGGCCCGACCUCGGACUAAGGGCAGCGGGAGGCGGGGUUGCUGCUCUACUCCAAGGCGGCCCGCUUUGCCGUUCCUCGCGCAGCCCCGGGCGGCCUCGGGGCGGGGAAGGGCUGUGGCCGGGCGCCCUCUGGCCGGAGCGUGGGGCAAUGCAGAGCCGACUCCCCCGCCGCCACGUCAGGCCCCGCCACGUCAGGCCCCGCGGGCACGCCCCGGCUGCCGGCGGCCUGCGGGGUCGCCGCCGAGGUCACUCACGCGGGCUCUGGAAGCCCUUUUGAGCCGCUUGGGCUCCGACCCACCACGUCCUCCGUCCGCGCCGAGUCCCCGGAGACACGCGUGUGCAGUAAAAUCCGGAGCCCUGGUGAAGGCCGCCACCAAUGAUGCAGCGAUUAAAGCCAGGUGCGGAGCACCUGCUGCGAAAAGGGCACGGGGACCGAGUCCCAAUUCACGCGACGGCGUGCCCCGAGUGAGAGGGCUGUCCCCGGUUCAGGAUUUACGUUCCAGAAAGGGGAAGGAAAACGAAAGAGGGGUUGCAUAAAUAAAUGAUAGGCGUGCCACACUGGUUGAGGAAUUGAGCAUGCACUUGAAAACCACUGUCUUCGGAAGGCUCUGGGACACAGGAGUUCCUUCUGUCACUAAUUAACUGAGUGACCUACAUUGUCUCAGUAUGUCUCAGGGCCUUGGUUUUCUCCUCUGUAAAACGAAGAGGAAGAUACUUCAAAGCCUCCUCCUGCUUUACAGUUCAGAUCUCACACUGUGAGCUUUUAUAAGCAGCUGCUUGUCAUAGCCUUAGAAGAUCUUUCAGAAAAAGAAGUCUGGAUGCUACCCCUGAGUACCUGAUUCCCUACCUAUACAUUUGCUUCUACUAGGGAAAAGUCGGAUCUGUGUCUAGCUUGGGAGGAAUUCAGAUUCAUUAAAAUUGGGCUGAAACUUGAAAAAUGAAUGCAUCCAACACACCCGUUGGUACUGUAACUGUUGUACUCUAAAAGUAUACGUGAUCCACUCAGCUAAAAACUGAUGGAGCUGAGCAUCUUGGACAAGCUUUUAAUCCCAGCACUUGCAAGACUGAGGCAGC